AGUGAACGCUGGCGGUAGGCCUAACACAUGCAAGUCGAACGGCAGCACAGUAAGAGCUUGCUCUUACGGGUGGCGAGUGGCGGACGGGUGAGGAAUACACCGGAAUCUACUUUUUCGCGGGGGAUAACGUAGGGAAACUUACGCUAAUACCGCAUACGACCUACGGGUGAAAGCAGGGGACCUUCGGACCUUGCGCGAUUGAAUGAGCCGAUGUCGGAUUAGCUAGUUGGCGGGGUAAAGGCCCACCAAGGCGACGAUCCGUAGCUGGUCUGAGAGGAUGAUCAGCCACACUGGAACUGAGACACGGUCCAGACUCCUACGGGAGGCAGCAGUGGGGAAUAUUGGACAAUGGGCGCAAGCCUGAUCCAGCCAUACCGCGUGGGUGAAGAAGGCCUUCGGGUUGUAAAGCCCUUUUGUUGGGAAAGAAAAGCAGCAGGUUAAUACCCCGCUGUUCUGACGGUACCCAAAGAAUAAGCACCGGCUAACUUCGUG
RNAcentral lists this ribosomal RNA (492 nucleotides) under uncultured bacterium. RNAcentral's name for it is "partial 16S ribosomal RNA". It matches the Rfam family "Bacterial small subunit ribosomal RNA", at positions 29 to 507 of the family's 1533-position model. The record is from RNAcentral.